ACAGUUCGGUCUCUAUCUAUCGUGGGCGUAUGAAAUUUGCGUGGCUCUGACACUAGUACGAGAGGACCGUGUUGGACUGACCGCUGGUUUACCAGUUGUGCCGCCAGGUGCAUUGCUGGGUAUCUAAGUCGGGAUUGGAUAAGUGCUGAAAGCAUCUAAGUACGAAGCCAGCCACAAGAUUAGAUUUCUUAGGGUCGUUAAAGACGAUGACGUUGAUAGGAUGCAGGUGUAAAGGUGGUAACAUCAAAGCCGAGCAUUACUAAUUGCCCGUUCACUUUCUUUU
This 283-nucleotide ribosomal RNA is filed under the name Bacteroides thetaiotaomicron. RNAcentral's name for it is "partial 23S ribosomal RNA". It matches the Rfam family "Bacterial large subunit ribosomal RNA", at positions 2626 to 2925 of the family's 2925-position model. The record is from RNAcentral. Lineage: Bacteria; Pseudomonadati; Bacteroidota; Bacteroidia; Bacteroidales; Bacteroidaceae.